This 493-nucleotide ribosomal RNA is filed under the name uncultured bacterium. RNAcentral's name for it is "SSU rRNA". It matches the Rfam family "Bacterial small subunit ribosomal RNA", at positions 26 to 523 of the family's 1533-position model. The record is from RNAcentral.
AGGACGAACGCUGGCGGCGUGCUUAACACAUGCAAGUCGAACGGAAAGGCCCUUUCGGGGGUACUCGAGUGGCGAACGGGUGAGUAACACGUGGGUGAUCUGCCCUGCACUUCGGGAUAAGCCUGGGAAACUGGGUCUAAUACCGGAUAGGACUACGGGAUGCAUGUCCUGUGGUGGAAAGCUUUUGCGGUGUGGGAUGGGCCCGCGGCCUAUCAGCUUGUUGGUGGGGUGAUGGCCUACCAAGGCGACGACGGGUAGCCGGCCUGAGAGGGUGUCCGGCCACACUGGGACUGAGAUACGGCCCAGACUCCUACGGGAGGCAGCAGUGGGGAAUAUUGCACAAUGGGCGCAAGCCUGAUGCAGCGACGCCGCGUGGGGGAUGAAGGCCUUCGGGUUGUAAACCUCUUUCAGUAUUGGCGAAGUUCCGGGUUUCUCCGGGUGACGGUAGGUACAGAAGAAGCACCGGCCAACUACGUGCCAGCAGCCGCGGUAA